GUCGUUGAAGACAACAACAUCACAAGUGGAAAAACAAAAAACAAACAUAAAGCAGGAAAGAGGGACUUGGCCUGUCAUGACCUACACUGGGAGCCCUUUGCAGAGGAAAGGAGGCAUUGUAUGGCUGCUGAAACACAUCCAGUCACCAGCUUCCUCACAGCAUCCUUGAGCUCCUGGUUCCUCAGGCUGUAGAUGAUGGGGGUUCACUGCUGGACGCACCACCGAGUACAGCACUGACACCACCAGAUCCAGGGAUGGGGAAGAAGUGGAAUGGGGCUUCAGAUGGCUGGAACCACAGGAGGUGUAGCAUGGAGACAAGAAGGAUGAGGAGGGUAGAUGCCCCCUGCAUGAAGGCGAAGCUUGGAUUUCUUGAGGUCCCCUAUGUGACAGGUAACAGGUUGGGCUCACUUUUGUGACUGUUUCCUUCCGGAGGGGGCCUGCAUUUUCCCACAUCUUCCUUUUAUCCCCAGUGUACUAUACAAGCUUUUUUUGUUGGCGUUAAUGUCCUUGGCCAAAUUGAGUUCUGACACAACUUUAUCUUUCCUAACCUGAUCUCUGGCUGCUCUAUUUCUCUCCAUUCC
Molecule: long non-coding RNA, 581 nt
Filed under: Strigops habroptila (Kakapo)
Lineage: Eukaryota; Metazoa; Chordata; Aves; Psittaciformes; Psittacidae
Description: lncRNA (ENSSHBG00005015228.1)
Source: RNAcentral